UAAGGAAUAUUGGACAAUGGAGGCAACUCUGAUCCAGCCAUGCCGCGUGAAGGAAUAAGGCCCUAUGGGUUGUAAACUUCUUUUAGACGGGACAAAACCCCUUUACGUGUAAAGGGUUGAUGGUACUGUCAGAAUAAGCAUCGGCUAACUUCGUGCCAGCAGCCGCGGUAAUACGAAGGAUGCAAGCGUUAUCCGGAAUUAUUGGGUUUAAAGGGUGCGUAGGCGGACUAAUAAGUCAGUGGUGAAAGCCCGCAGCUUAACUGCAGAAUUGCCAUUGAUACUGUUAGUCUUGAGUACAGUUGAGGUAGGCGGAAUGUGUCAUGUAACGGUGAAAUGCUUAGAUAUGACACAGAACACCGAUUGCGAAGGCAGCUUGCUAAGCUGUAACUGACGCUGAGGCACGAAAGCGUGGGGAGCAAACA
RNAcentral lists this ribosomal RNA (422 nucleotides) under uncultured bacterium. Its description in RNAcentral is "bacterial SSU rRNA". It matches the Rfam family "Bacterial small subunit ribosomal RNA", at positions 355 to 774 of the family's 1533-position model. The record is from RNAcentral.